This 175-nucleotide ribosomal RNA is filed under the name uncultured bacterium. RNAcentral describes it as "partial 16S ribosomal RNA". It matches the Rfam family "Bacterial small subunit ribosomal RNA", at positions 118 to 291 of the family's 1533-position model. The record is from RNAcentral.
UGAAGAAUUUGUCCAACGGUGGGGGAUAGCCGGCCCAACGGCCGGGUAAUACCGCGUACGCCCUUUGAGCGGCAUCGCUCGAUGGGGAAAGUCGCAAGACGCCGAUGGAGAACUUCGCGGCCUAUCAGCUAGUUGGUGAGGUAACGGCUCACCAAGGCGUCGACGGGUAGCUGGU